ACACACACAUCGACCCAAUACACGGCCAUAAUUAUGAUGCAUAUGUAAUGUAACUCAAACAUUAUCAAUCUCUGCAAAACAGUAAUACAAAUAAUAACAAAAAUAUUUCAAGUUUAAUCCCAUGAAUAAUAAUACUCUUCCAACGUCAAAUAAUAUCCAAGAAGCAAUAUCAAUAAUACUAUUCACCAAGCAAAACAACAAUACUAUUCAUAUUUAUAAUACUAUAUAUAAACACCAAGAUUAAAAGUGAUAUAGUCCAAUCAUUGGGGAAUCAGGAAACCCUACCUUGC
Molecule: long non-coding RNA, 290 nt
Filed under: Prunus persica (peach)
Lineage: Eukaryota; Viridiplantae; Streptophyta; Magnoliopsida; Rosales; Rosaceae
Description: long non-coding RNA (PPER_LNC000657)
Source: RNAcentral